ACGGAGUCCGAUACGCACCAGAAGCCAACUCUACUCCGUGGCUUCCCCGGAAAAUCGGAGUUACUAUUCACUUAAGUGAAAACUGAAAGUCGCGUAUCUUCUCCAUUUUAGCUCAUUUUCGCCCGAAACUUGACGAGUGCUUAUGUAGUUAAAUUACACACAUAAACAUCAUCAACAGAGAGUUUAGUAGCACUGUCAAAAAUCUCAGUCCUUACAUUCAUAAACGGGCCGUUUAAUUUAGAUUUUUAAUAAUUCGCGAAUUAACUAACUAGGGUUGUCAUUGGAUAUAUAAGAGACCUAGCCACCAGACAUUAUAAUUAGGCUUAAGUAUUUUAGGUCAGUGAUUUGGACCUAACGAAUUAUUAUUUCUCGUAGACCUGAAUUGUUAUAUUUAAUAAGUUUUCUAAUUUUCAAUACCUAAAUUCAGAAAUAGUAAAAAGCCAUUUCUUGAAAUCUGAUUUUAAUUUAAAAUUAAAAAUUAAAAAUUAAAAUUUUUUAAUUUU
This 503-nucleotide long non-coding RNA is filed under the name Ananas comosus (pineapple). RNAcentral describes it as "long non-coding RNA (ACOM_LNC023450)". Lineage: Eukaryota; Viridiplantae; Streptophyta; Magnoliopsida; Poales; Bromeliaceae. The record is from RNAcentral.